Molecule: ribosomal RNA, 1807 nt
Filed under: Mycobacterium tuberculosis
Lineage: Bacteria; Bacillati; Actinomycetota; Actinomycetes; Mycobacteriales; Mycobacteriaceae
Description: bacterial LSU rRNA
Rfam family: Bacterial large subunit ribosomal RNA
Source: RNAcentral
CAUUCAGCGAAGCCACCGGGUGACCGGUGGUGGAGGGUGGGGGAGUGAGAAUGCAGGCAUGAGUAGCGACAAGGCAAGUGAGAACCUUGCCCGCCGAAAGACCAAGGGUUCCUGGGCCAGGCCAGUCCGCCCAGGGUGAGUCGGGACCUAAGGCGAGGCCGACAGGCGUAGUCGAUGGACAACGGGUUGAUAUUCCCGUACCCGUGUGUGGGCGCCCGUGACGAAUCAGCGGUACUAACCACCCAAAACCGGAUCGAUCACUCCCCUUCGGGGGUGUGGAGUUCUGGGGCUGCGUGGGAACUUCGCUGGUAGUAGUCAAGCGAAGGGGUGACGCAGGAAGGUAGCCGUACCAGUCAGUGGUAACACUGGGGCAAGCCGGUAGGGAGAGCGAUAGGCAAAUCCGUCGCUCACUAAUCCUGAGAGGUGACGCAUAGCCGGUUGAGGCGAAUUCGGUGAUCCUCUGCUGCCAAGAAAAGCCUCUAGCGAGCACACACACGGCCCGUACCCCAAACCGACACAGGUGGUCAGGUAGAGCAUACCAAGGCGUACGAGAUAACUAUGGUUAAGGAACUCGGCAAAAUGCCCCCGUAACUUCGGGAGAAGGGGGACCGGAAUAUCGUGAACACCCUUGCGGUGGGAGCGGGAUCCGGUCGCAGAAACCAGUGAGGAGCGACUGUUUACUAAAAACACAGGUCCGUGCGAAGUCGCAAGACGAUGUAUACGGACUGACGCCUGCCCGGUGCUGGAAGGUUAAGAGGACCCGUUAACCCGCAAGGGUGAAGCGGAGAAUUUAAGCCCCAGUAAACGGCGGUGGUAACUAUAACCAUCCUAAGGUAGCGAAAUUCCUUGUCGGGUAAGUUCCGACCUGCACGAAUGGCGUAACGACUUCUCAACUGUCUCAACCAUAGACUCGGCGAAAUUGCACUACGAGUAAAGAUGCUCGUUACGCGCGGCAGGACGAAAAGACCCCGGGACCUUCACUACAACUUGGUAUUGAUGUUCGGUACGGUUUGUGUAGGAUAGGUGGGAGACUGUGAAACCUCGACGCCAGUUGGGGCGGAGUCGUUGUUGAAAUACCACUCUGAUCGUAUUGGGCAUCUAACCUCGAACCCUGAAUCGGGUUUAGGGACAGUGCCUGGCGGGUAGUUUAACUGGGGCGGUUGCCUCCUAAAAUGUAACGGAGGCGCCCAAAGGUUCCCUCAACCUGGACGGCAAUCAGGUGGCGAGUGUAAAUGCACAAGGGAGCUUGACUGCGAGACUUACAAGUCAAGCAGGGACGAAAGUCGGGAUUAGUGAUCCGGCACCCCCGAGUGGAAGGGGUGUCGCUCAACGGAUAAAAGGUACCCCGGGGAUAACAGGCUGAUCUUCCCCAAGAGUCCAUAUCGACGGGAUGGUUUGGCACCUCGAUGUCGGCUCGUCGCAUCCUGGGGCUGGAGCAGGUCCCAAGGGUUGGGCUGUUCGCCCAUUAAAGCGGCACGCGAGCUGGGUUUAGAACGUCGUGAGACAGUUCGGUCUCUAUCCGCCGCGCGCGUCAGAAACUUGAGGAAACCUGUCCCUAGUACGAGAGGACCGGGACGGACGAACCUCUGGUGCACCAGUUGUCCCGCCAGGGGCACCGCUGGAUAGCCACGUUCGGUCAGGAUAACCGCUGAAAGCAUCUAAGCGGGAAACCUUCUCCAAGAUCAGGUUUCUCACCCACUUGGUGGGAUAAGGCCCCCCGCAGAACACGGGUUCAAUAGGUCAGACCUGGAAGCUCAGUAAUGGGUGUAGGGAACUGGUGCUAACCGGCCGAAAACUUACAACACCC